Molecule: ribosomal RNA, 429 nt
Filed under: Pseudomonadota bacterium
Lineage: Bacteria; Pseudomonadati; Pseudomonadota
Description: Proteobacteria bacterium partial 16S ribosomal RNA
Rfam family: Bacterial small subunit ribosomal RNA
Source: RNAcentral
UGGGGUAUAUUGGACAAUGGGCGAAAGCCUGAUCCAGCCAUGCCGCGUGUGUGAAGAAGGUCUUCGGAUUGUAAAGCACUUUAAGCUGGGAGGAAGGGCAGUAAGCGAAUACCUUGCUGCUUUGACGUUACCGACAGAAUAAGCACCGGCUAACUCUGUGCCAGCAGCCGCGGUAACACAGAGGGUGCAAGCGUUAAUCGGAAUUACUGGGCGUAAAGCGCGCGUAGGUGGUUCGUUAAGUUGAAUGUGAAAGCCCCGGGCUCAACCUGGGAACUGCAUCCAAAACUGGCGCGCUAGAGUAGGGCAGAGGGUGGUGGAAUUUCCUGUGUAGCGGUGAAAUGCGUAGAUAUAGUAAGGAACACCAGUGGCGAAGGCGACCACCUGAGCUCAUACUGACACUGAGGUGCGAAAGCGUAGGGAGCAAACAGG